Long non-coding RNA from Dromaius novaehollandiae (emu), 1534 nucleotides. RefSeq lists it as uncharacterized. The record is from RefSeq and is a predicted model, not a curated record. The transcript is spliced from 3 exons. Lineage: Eukaryota; Metazoa; Chordata; Aves; Casuariiformes; Dromaiidae.
AAUUCUAUGUGGGAAAAUUAUAUCCCUGUUUCUUGAUUUUAGGCAAUUCGCUAUCUAUGCCAUCUGUCAUUUGGACAAAGGGAGACAAGGGGGCCUAGCCCCACGGGUGCAGGGAACAGAGACUUGUCCAUUCAUUUUGAGGAAUGUGGAAUCAAAUACUUACCACAACUAGUCUGCCUUGGAAACUUAGGACUGAUUUUUUCUGUCCCUUUCCCAGUCAGACUUUACCUUGAGGUUUAAUUCACAAUCAAAUUGGAUCCAUCCUUUGUUCCUAAAGGGACUCGUUAUGCUCCACUAUGGUUGAAUGUCUCUGAGGUCUGAAGAAAGACCCUGAAAUACAUGAGGGACCAUCUUCCAAAACAAGUACAAGAGAGACAUGGAACUACUGGAGAGAGUCCAGCGUAGGACUGCGAAGAUGAUUAGGGGACUGGAGCAUCUGUCUUAUGAGGAAAGGCUGAGAAAGCUGGGCCUGCUUAGCCUGGAGAAGAGAAGAUUGAGGGGGGAUCUUAUCAAUGUAUAGAAAUAUCUUAAGGGAGGGUGUAAAGAGGAUGGGGCCAGACUAUUUUCAGUGUUGCCCAAUGACAGGACAAGAGGCAACAGGCACAAACUGAAACACAGGAAGUUCCAUCUGAACAUGAGGAACAACUUCUUUACUGUGAGGGUGACUGAGCACUGGAACAGGUUGCCCAGAGAUGCUGUGGAGUCUCCUUCUCUGGAGAUAUUCAAAACACACCUGCACACCUGUGCAACAUGCUCAAGGUGACCCUGCUUGAGCAGGGUGGUUGGACUAGAUGAUCUCCAGAGGCCCCUUCCAACCUCAACCAUUCUGUGAUUCAUGUGUCUUUUGAAAUGAAUCAUACACUAUUGUACACCAGCCAUAUCUGGUUUUUAUAUCACUUCAGACAGUGCAACAAACUCCCUAACGUAACACUUACAAUGCACUGUUGUUUUUUCUACCAUAAACUGAUUAAGUGUUAAGAGAAGUUAAUCAUUAAACUGCUAGUUUUACAUUAAGACAGACUCCCUUCUUUGUCUUUCAGCCUCCUUCUUUGAAAUGCCACAUAAAAGUGAUAGAUGCCCUUUCUUUAAGAGUCAGCCAUCUAGUCAAGUUAUGUUUUAUAUUAGUUCAGCGACAAAGAGCCCUCCUUGUUUAAAUAUAGAAGCGUAAAGUAGAUAAGGUUAAGUAAGCUGGCUGCUGGGAGAACAGCAGGCCUGGUCUCUGUUAAGAUAAGCCGGCUGGAGCAGUAGGGGAGUAUUCAUUGUGCAAGAUUGUACUGUAUGAAUUACACUGUGGAGACAAGAAUACAAUGUGAAAACAAAUUAAGCUGAGGCCAAAGAUGCAAAUGGUCAAAUAUAUAUGUGAUAACACGAUGAAAAGCUUUUGGCAUUUUACUAAGGACAUUUAAUGGAUUUUGAAGUAUAAUUUGGCAUGGAAGCUACGUCUUAAAACAUCUUCAGAAACAGAGCAAACUUUCCCUAUAUACACUGAAAAGUGUGUGUGUGUGCGUGUGUGUGUUCUUCCUUCUAGUUAGCC